This 156-nucleotide ribosomal RNA is filed under the name Arabis paniculata. Its description in RNAcentral is "5.8S ribosomal RNA". It matches the Rfam family "5.8S ribosomal RNA". From Rfam's summary of the family: 5.8S ribosomal RNA (5.8S rRNA) is a component of the large subunit of the eukaryotic ribosome. It is transcribed by RNA polymerase I as part of the 45S precursor that also contains 18S and 28S rRNA. The record is from RNAcentral. Lineage: Eukaryota; Viridiplantae; Streptophyta; Magnoliopsida; Brassicales; Brassicaceae.
AUAACGACUCUCGGCAACGGAUAUCUCGGCUCUCGCAUCGAUGAAGAACGUAGCGAAAUGCGAUACUUGGUGUGAAUUGCAGAAUCCCGUGAACCAUCGAGUCUUUGAACGCAAGUUGCGCCCUAAGCCUCUGGCCGAGGGCACGUCUGCCUGGGU